This 339-nucleotide transfer-messenger RNA is filed under the name Oceanobacillus arenosus. It matches the Rfam family "transfer-messenger RNA". From Rfam's summary of the family: Bacterial tmRNA, also known as 10Sa RNA or SsrA, is named for its dual tRNA and mRNA-like properties. Lineage: Bacteria; Bacillati; Bacillota; Bacilli; Caryophanales; Bacillaceae. The record is from RNAcentral.
UACGGAUUCGACAGGGGUAGUUCGAGCUCAGGUUGCGCGUCGAGGUUACGGCUCGUAAAACGUUAAACGCCUUAUAAAUGGCAAAGAAAACAAUUACUCUUUAGCAGCUGCGUAAGUAGCACUAAAGGAUCCUUCCUGCCGUCGCCCGUGGGGCAGAUUGAAGGGUCUCAACUUUAAGCGGGCUAUUACGAACAUCCACCGUCUGAGGAUGCUCGUUGAAUCUAAUCAGACUAGCUUUCACAACGCCUGUUGGUAGGCAGAGUGAUAAGCGAAAUACGAAUAUACCAACUACACGUGUAGAAGCCUGAGUGGCGUUGCCUCUGGACGUGGGUUCGAUUA